UGCCAGCCGCCGCGGUAACACGGGGGGCGCAAGCGUUAUUCGGAAUUAUUGGGCGUAAAGGGCGCGUAGGCGGUCUUGUCAGUCAGGUGUGAAAGCCCGGGGCUCAACCCAGGAAGUGCAUCCAAAACUGUAUGGCUCGAGUACCGAAGGGGGUCAGAGAAUUCCCGGUGUAGAGGUGAAAUUCGUAGAUAUCGGGAGGAAUACCAGUGGCGAAGGCGCUGGCCUGGUCGGAUACUGACGCUGAGGUGUGAUAGCGUGGGGAGCAAACAGGAUUAGAUA
RNAcentral lists this ribosomal RNA (279 nucleotides) under uncultured bacterium. RNAcentral's name for it is "partial 16S ribosomal RNA". It matches the Rfam family "Bacterial small subunit ribosomal RNA", at positions 506 to 784 of the family's 1533-position model. The record is from RNAcentral.